AUUGAACGCUGGCGGCAGGCCUAACACAUGCAAGUCGAGCGGAUGAAGGGAGCUUGCUCCUGGAUUCAGCGGCGGACGGGUGAGUAAUGCCUAGGAAUCUGCCUGGUAGUGGGGGAUAACGUCCGGAAACGGGCGCUAAUACCGCAUACGUCCUGAGGGAGAAAGUGGGGGAUCUUCGGACCUCACGCUAUCAGAUGAGCCUAGGUCGGAUUAGCUAGUUGGUGGGGUAAAGGCCUACCAAGGCGACGAUCCGUAACUGGUCUGAGAGGAUGAUCAGUCACACUGGAACUGGGACACGGUCCAGACUCCUGCGGGAGGCAGCAGUGGGGAAUAUUGGACGAUGGGCGAAAGCCUGAUCCAGCCAUGCCGCGUGUGUGAAGAAGGUCUUCGGAUUGUAAAACACUUUAAGUUGGGAGGAAGGGCAGUAAGUUAAUACCUUGCUGUUUUGACGUUACCAACAGAAUAAGCACCGGCUAACUUCGUG
This 484-nucleotide ribosomal RNA is filed under the name uncultured bacterium. Its description in RNAcentral is "partial 16S ribosomal RNA". It matches the Rfam family "Bacterial small subunit ribosomal RNA", at positions 30 to 507 of the family's 1533-position model. The record is from RNAcentral.